Molecule: transfer RNA, 198 nt
Filed under: Marmota monax (woodchuck)
Lineage: Eukaryota; Metazoa; Chordata; Mammalia; Rodentia; Sciuridae
Description: tRNA.Leu
Source: RNAcentral
GGGGAUAUAGCUCAGUUGGUAGAGUGCUUGCCUCAAAACAGUAAAACAUAUCCAUAUAGUAACCAUAAAAUAUUAAAUACUAAAAUAAAUUUUAAAUAUUAAAUGUUAAAAUAAUAAUUUACUUAUUAAAAUAGAUUAUUAAGGAAAUGAAAGGUAAGCCAAAGUGGAGAGAAAAUAUUUACAAUACAUAUGUACUCA